GAUGAAGAACGUAGCGAAAUGCGAUAAGUAAUGCGAAUUGCAGAUCUCCGUGAGUCAUUGAAUCUUUGAACGCACAUUGCGCCCUCGGGUAUUCCCGAGGGCAUGCCUGUCCGAGCGUCAUUAUCCAACCAUCAAGCUCGGCUUGCGGUUGAGCCCCGCACCGUCCCCGGGACGGUGGGCUCGAAACAUGUUGGGCGCCCGUGAGGUUGUCGGUGCAGCGAGCUCUCGAGCACGUGCCGGGCAACCGCUCUGGGCGUCGGCCAGCCCCCCCAUUUUCUCAGGUUGACCUCGGAUCAGGUAGGAAUACCCGCUGAACUUAAGCAUAUCAAUAACGGAGGA
RNAcentral lists this unclassified non-coding RNA (339 nucleotides) under soil metagenome. Its description in RNAcentral is "partial contains 5.8S ribosomal RNA, internal transcribed spacer 2, and large subunit ribosomal RNA". The stretch from base 1 to 120 matches the Rfam family "5.8S ribosomal RNA", at positions 35 to 154 of the family's 154-position model. The record is from RNAcentral.